Molecule: ribosomal RNA, 484 nt
Filed under: uncultured bacterium
Lineage: Bacteria
Description: partial 16S ribosomal RNA
Rfam family: Bacterial small subunit ribosomal RNA
Source: RNAcentral
AUUGAACGCUGGCGGCAGGCCUAACACAUGCAAGUCGAGCGGAUGAAGGGAGCUUGCUCCUGGAUUCAGCUGCGGACGGGUGAGUAAGGCCUAGGAAGCUGCCUGGUAGUGGGGGAUAACGUCCGGUAACGGGCGCUAAUACCGCAUACGUCCUGAUGUAGAAAGUGGGGGAUCUUCGGACCUCACGCUAUUAGAUGAGCCUAGGUCGGAUUAGCUAGUUGGUGGGGUAAAGGCUUACCAAGGCGACGAUCCGUAACUGGUCUGAGAGGAUGAUCAGUCACACUGGAACUGAGACACGGUCCAGACUCCUACGGGAGGCAGCAGUGGGGAAUAUUGGACAAUGGGCGAAAGCCUGAUCCAGCCACGCCGCGUGUGUGAAGAAGGUCUUCGGAUUGUAAAGCACUUUAAGUUGGGAGGAAGGGAAGUAAGUUAAUCCCUUGCUGUCUUGACGGUACCAACAGAAUAAGCACCGGCUAACUUCGUG